CUACGGGCUGCUGCAGUGAGGAAUUUUGCGCAAUGGGGGAAACCCUGACGCAGCAACGCCGCGUGAGCGAAGAAGGCCUUCGGGUCGUAAAGCUCUGUCAAGUGGGAAAAAAAUUCUUUGAUGAACAGUCAAAGGACUUGAUGGUACCACUGGAGGAAGCACCGGCUAACUCCGUGCCAGCAGCCGCGGUAAUACGGAGGGUGCAAGCGUUGUUCGGAAUUACUGGGCGUAAAGAGCGUGUAGGCGGUUUGACAAGUCAGGUGUGAAAGCCCCGGGCUCAACCCGGGAAGUGCAUUUGAAACUGUUUCACUAGAGUAUGGGAGAGGAGAUUGGAAUUCCUGGUGUAGAGGUGAAAUUCGUAGAUAUCAGGAGGGACACCCGUGGCGAAGGCGAUUCUCUGGACCAAUACUGACGCUGAGACGCGAAAGCGUGGGGAGCAAACAGGAUUAGAUACCCUGGUAGUC
This 464-nucleotide ribosomal RNA is filed under the name uncultured bacterium. RNAcentral describes it as "partial 16S ribosomal RNA". It matches the Rfam family "Bacterial small subunit ribosomal RNA", at positions 339 to 795 of the family's 1533-position model. The record is from RNAcentral.